AUAAAGCAAAAGAGUUACAAUUAAAAUUAUCUUGUUGUGCUUGUUCCAACACUAGGACAGUUAGUACGAUUAUGACCGGGCUGGCGACAUUAAAAUUAUCUAACCAUUUUGUUCGCCGUAUCCAUUUUGGCUCAAAUACGGGUGCUGUUUGGGCGACCCUUUUUCUUUCUUCGCAUUAUUUCAUUAUGCCAGAGAAUGUCCCAUUGAUAUGCAGGCCAGUAACCCUCUUUUGCUGCCACUGAAAAGCUAAUUUUGUAAACAUUGCAAAGGCUUAAGACUUUG
RNAcentral lists this long non-coding RNA (282 nucleotides) under Lathyrus oleraceus (garden pea). RNAcentral describes it as "Pisum sativum (pea) long non-coding RNA (PSAT_LNC017613)". Lineage: Eukaryota; Viridiplantae; Streptophyta; Magnoliopsida; Fabales; Fabaceae. The record is from RNAcentral.